UCUGGUGCCUGGCCCCAGCUGGAUGCAGCACCGUUCACCACCACUCUGGGCCUGGCCAUCCAGCCAGUUCCUAACCCAGAAAAGACUGCUCCUGUCCAAGCUGAGGGCUGACAGUUUUCCAGGAGUGUGCUGUGGGAGACAUGAACAGGCAAAAUGAAGCCAAGAUCCUUUAAAAGGCUUGGGCCUGUUUAUUGAAAGUCAAGACAACCGAAGAUGAGACCCCAGGGAAGGGACAGCUGACUACAUUUACAAGAGGAGAUCAGUCGAUGUUGUCUUCCUGGAUUUCACCAAGGCUUUCAACCAUGAUAUCCUUAUAUGCCAGAUAUCAAUUUGAGUAGUAAUUUAUGAAAUAAUAUUUUCAAGAAAAAAACCUGAUUCACAUUACUAUAGAAAGGAAAUCCAUUUGGAAAUUUGGAGGCAAGCCAGGAGUAGACAGUGCACUGGUAUAUCUUCUGCUAGUGAGACAUACACAGAUGCUCACUGAAGUCAUGCACCUCUAUUUUCUUUCAGCAUCUAUGAAUCCUGAACGCUCCUUUCCACAUAGGAGUGGGACGCAAUAAGUUCUCUUCCAAGGGAACUGUGAUUAUAAAUAGAUAUGCAUCACUGAGGCAGUCAGGUUUGAAGAGGAGAGGAACAAAUUUGUUGUCAGAGAUUCAUCUGAACAAUGUGUAGAAAACAAGACUUGGACCACACACUGGCUGUUCUUCUCUUACCUACUAGGAAGAAGCAGAAAGAACAAAACAGGAACAUCUGGAAAACAAAUACCGCAGGAUCCUUCCCUGAAAAGUAUGUCAUAUGCUGUUAAUAAGCUUAAUAUGCAAUGUCAACCCUAUUUGACAAACAGUUAACAUCAGCUGCAAACA
Passer domesticus (house sparrow) is the source of this 863-nucleotide long non-coding RNA. RefSeq lists it as uncharacterized. The record is from RefSeq and is a predicted model, not a curated record. Lineage: Eukaryota; Metazoa; Chordata; Aves; Passeriformes; Passeridae. The transcript is spliced from 6 exons.